This 441-nucleotide ribosomal RNA is filed under the name uncultured bacterium. Its description in RNAcentral is "partial 16S ribosomal RNA". It matches the Rfam family "Bacterial small subunit ribosomal RNA", at positions 338 to 795 of the family's 1533-position model. The record is from RNAcentral.
CCUACGGGAGGCAGCAGUGGGGAAUAUUGCACAAUGGGGGGAACCCUGAUGCAGCGACGCCGCGUGGGUGAAGGAGUAUUUCGGUAUGUAAAGCCCUAUCAGCAGGGAAGAACAAUGACGGUACCUGACUAAGAAGCACCGGCUAAAUACGUGCCAGCAGCCGCGGUAAUACGUAUGGUGCAAGCGUUGUCCGGAUUUACUGGGUGUAAAGGGCGUGCAGCCGGAGAGACAAGUCAGAUGUGAAAUCCACGGGCUCAACCCGUGAACUGCAUUUGAAACUGUUUCCCUUGAGUGUCGGAGAGGUAAUCGGAAUUCCUUGUGUAGCGGUGAAAUGCGUAGAUAUAAGGAAGAACACCAGUGGCGAAGGCGGAUUACUGGACGAUAACUGACGGUGAGGCGCGAAAGCGUGGGGAGCAAACAGGAUUAGAUACCCUUGUAGUC